AUUGAACGCUGGCGGAAUGCUUUACACAUGCAAGUCGAACGGCAGCACGGGGGCAGCCCUGGUGGCGAGUGGCGAACGGGUGAGUAAUACAUCGGAACGUGCCCGGUCGUGGGGGAUAACGUAGCGAAAGUUACGCUAAUACCGCAUACGAUCUGAGGAUGAAAGCGGGGGACCUUCGGGCCUCGCGCGAUCGGAGUGGCCGAUGUCAGAUUAGGUAGUUGGUGGGGUAAAGGCCUACCAAGCCGACGAUCUGUAGCUGGUCUGAGAGGACGACCAGCCACACUGGGACUGAGACACGGCCCAGACUCCUACGGGAGGCAGCAGUGGGGAAUUUUGGACAAUGGGCGCAAGCCUGAUCCAGCCAUUCCGCGUGCAGGACGAAGGCCUUCGGGUUGUAAACUGCUUUUGUACGGAACGAAAAGGCUCUGGCUAAUACCUGGGGCUCAUGACGGUACCGUAAGAAUAAGCACCGGCUAACUACGUG
This 484-nucleotide ribosomal RNA is filed under the name uncultured bacterium. RNAcentral's name for it is "partial 16S ribosomal RNA". It matches the Rfam family "Bacterial small subunit ribosomal RNA", at positions 30 to 507 of the family's 1533-position model. The record is from RNAcentral.